This is an RNA transcript of Mesocricetus auratus (golden hamster), 4698 nucleotides long. It is a transcript of the gene named UDP-GlcNAc:betaGal beta-1,3-N-acetylglucosaminyltransferase 4, with no coding region annotated. The record is from RefSeq and is a predicted model, not a curated record. The transcript is spliced from 2 exons. Lineage: Eukaryota; Metazoa; Chordata; Mammalia; Rodentia; Cricetidae.
GCGCAGGCUCCCUGUGCCGGGGGGCAGCUCUGCUGGCCGGCUUUCUGUUGCCCCUCCGUCUCGGGUCCGCUCUGGGCGGUCGCCCCGACGCACCGCGCUGCGGACUCCGGCAGAAAGAAUGGAGCUGCCCGGGGCGCACUUCCCCGGAGCCUGAGGCUGGCGACACCCCAGGGCGAGGGCGCGCAGUACGGUGGGAGGACCUGGCCUUACGGGACGGAGGUUCGGACAGGGAAGUGGGCUUUUCAGGGACUUGGGUGGGCAUGGGGUGCUGCGGCGUGGGAGGGCAACCAGGCCACGGGACAAGCCAGAGUUCUCCGUGAGUGGCACGGCCGGCUGCGGACUUCGCACACCUGCGAUCCAUUUCUCACACCUGAGACUCUGGAGCAGUUCCAGCUGCGGUCCCGCGAGGACUGGCUCCGCUUUGCAGCCUGAGAGCUUUCUAGCAGCCUUAGUUGCCUCCUGCCCCCCAGGUCUCUCACAUCCUGUUACCUAAGCCACGGCAAAAUGGCAUUAAAACCAUAGGCCAUAUUUAAACGUGGGCUACACCGUCAGGUGUUGCUCCUCAGCCUUUUGGGGCAUUCCCAGUUUUCUCUAAUGAGCCCUACGCCAACCCCCACAUAGCUUCCUCGCCUUCAGAUUGGUCUGCGUGGCUCCUACUCAGCGCGGAGCUUGGCUGUUCUCUCAGACUGUCGCGUUUUGUUCCCGUGCUUCAAGCACACGCUCAGAUGUCCCCGAGGCCUUGAACCCUUUCCUCAGUCUCUUCAUCCUUAGCAUUAUCUGGCCUGCCCGCCUGUGAGGGUGUUCCUAGCUGCUUGGCUAACACGAGAGAUGCUACAAGAGGCUCUGAGCAUCUCUAGGGGCAACAGGGAACGAGGCUGACCCAGAUAAGACCGUUUUGAAGGAUGGAAAAGAAAUGCGGCCUUGUGUACUCGGAUAUUUGGCUGCCACACCUGUGACUCUGUACCCCAGGUGUAGGUGUGGAGCUGGCUCUGGCUGUGGCCCCAGGCUCCAAGGGAAGGAGGCAAGGAGAGCUACUAGAAAAGUUGUGUUGGGGCUGGGGUGAGGGUCAGUUGUGCUUGGGCAGCAUGCUUGGUUCCCGACACCACAUAACCUGUCUACGGUCCCAGCACUGGCGAGGUGGAGGCAGGACGCUCAGAUGUCUAACGUCUGUGGCUAUACAGCAGGUUUGAGGUUGUUUAGGGCACUUGAGACUCCUGCCUUGGGUGUGAUCAGAAAGCUAUUAGGCAGGAUGCAAGACAAGGCUGGGCCACAUCUGGAGGGAACAAAUGGCAGAGAGGAAACUAAGGGUGAGCUGUGUUACCGCAGGCCUUGGGCAGGCUCCUCUGGUGAAUACCGUUUGUCUUUGGGUCACUUUAAGACUUUGUGAGUGAACCAGAACUCUAGAGAAAAGGGACAGUGACAUAUAGCCCAAGCUGUGGUUCCUUGGAUGAGCCCCUUCCCUUCCCCUAACCUCCUCAUGCUGUGACUUUUGCUCUGUGAACCACCACUGCCUUUUUGCCAUCGUGAAGUUCCCUCCCCUGAGACCUGGGACUCUGGUGUUGCUGGGACUGCAUCACCCAGAAACUCAAUGCAGAACCUGCCAGAGGCCAGACUGACCGCAGGCUUUGGUUCAUUAGGUAUGAGUCUGCAAAGCUCAGAAUGUUAGGGUUCAUGUUUAUGAUGCAUGUAACCAACACUAAAGCCAUGCCAUUUUCUCUAAAAUUCCCUGUUUAUUAGAUCUCAGCUUUACAACAGCGACAAGCCACAUGAGAGGGAAAUGUUGGCUGCUGAGCCCUGCCAAGAGGGUAGCAGAAGGCUGGUGUUUUAUUUUAGUCUUUCCUCCAGGGAGGACCUGUGCAAAGUGGUUCAUGCCCAUAAUCUCAGCACUUUGAGAGGCUGAGGUUAAGAGACUUACCAGUAGUUCAAGGCUAGGCUAGACUACCCAAAAUGAGAUCGUUUUGAAAAAAACAAGAACAGGUCCCAGAGUUGGGCAAGGGCUUGGCUGAGGGGUUGCAGGCAACUUAGAGCCUAGCUCAGGUGCUCUCUCCCCACAGGGCCUCAGCUAUGUUGCGCAGGUUGGGCUGUGUGCUGUUCUGCAGCCUUGUGGCACUGCUGCUCAGCUGCCUGCUCUUUCUGAAGGAACACACACCAGCAGGGAGCUCGAAGGCCCAUCAGCACUUAGGGGUGCUGCCAGAGUCCCAGCACAGCCAGUGCUCACCCAACCUAACAAUUGCUAAUGCCUCCCUGUCCCUGCCCAGCCGCCAUCGCCUCUUCUUAACCUACCAACACUGCCGAAGCUUCUCCAUCUUGCUGGAGCCUUCUGAGUGUGCCAGGGACACCUUCCUGCUCCUGGUCAUCAAGUCACAGCCUGGCCAUAUUGAGCAGCGUGCAGCCAUUAGAAGCACUUGGGGCCGGGCAGGGAGCUGGACUAGGGGCCGGCAGCUGAAGCUGGUGUUCCUCCUGGGGGUGGCAGGACCUGUGCCCCCAGCCCAGCUGCUGGCCUAUGAGAGUUGGCAGUUCGAUGACAUCCUACAGUGGGACUUUGCUGAGGAUUUCUUCAACCUAACACUGAAGGAGCUGCAUGUGCAGCGCUGGAUGGCAGCCGCCUGCACACAAGCCCACUUCAUACUAAAGGGAGACGAUGAUGUCUUCAUCCAUGUUCCCAAUGUGCUCGAGUUCCUGGAGGGCUGGGAUCCUGCCCAGGACCUCUUGGUGGGAGAUGUCAUCCACCAGGCCCGGCCUAACAGGAACACCAAAGUCAAAUACUUCAUUCCCUUCUCCAUGUACAGGGCCCGCCACUAUCCACCUUAUGCAGGAGGAGGUGGCUAUGUUAUGUCCCAGACGACUGUGAGGCGUCUUCACACAGCCAUGGAAGAGGUAGAACUCUUCCCCAUCGAUGAUGUCUUUGUGGGGAUGUGCCUGAAAAAGCUGGGGGUGACCCCUACACACCAUGCUGGCUUCAAGACAUUUGGAAUCCAACAGCCCCUGAACCCAUGGGACCCUUGCCUGUACAGAGGGCUCUUGCUGGUGCAUCGUCUAAGCCCCCUGGAGAUGUGGACCAUGUGGGCACUGGUGACAGAUGAGAGGCUCAAGUGUGGGGCUCCCCCUAAACCCUAGCCCUGAGGGGUGGGUUGAGCAAUCGCUCUAGUGACUGAUGAUUUCCUACCACAGAAUGAGAGCCGGCCCUUGCUGGUCAGUAAGAAUCAAUUCAUUUUUAUAAUGCCACCAACCUGAAACCUGGCAAAUUUAGCCAGCAUGUGCUGAAUGGGAGUGUAUGCUCCCAGGAAGGCCCAGGGCCCCUACAACUCCCACCAUUUAGGCAGUGAAGGACAUUGCAUGAGAGCCACAAAGACUUUUUCUUUUAUUUUUUAAUGCAAACACCAAACUUCUCUUCCUUUGGAUACAGCAGAGAAACUCGAAGGAAGGGAGAAAGGAAGGAGAAGCAUGAGUUGGAGAAGGACCUGUGGGGAGCAUCAGGUGGACACUGUCAUGCUCUGAUCUGAGAAACUCCUUAGCUGAGCUGUGCCCAUAGGCACAAAGGACAUUAGAAACACAAAUUUUUACAAACCAGGCUCCCUUCUUUGGAGCAAACAUUAAAUUAUACUUGAAAAUCUGAGCAAUAUUAAAAACUGUAAGUAAACAGCUAUUGAACUUAAGGGUGUGGCAGAAAAGGCCCCUUCUCCCCUGGCCCCGGUUGCUUUGGGUAUGAGGUGAAAAGAUGGGCGAGAGAGAGCUGAGUGGGACAGUGCUGAAUGAACCACGCUCAGGCUAAGAACCAGGCCCAUAGACUGAGGCCAGAGAAGGACAGGCACAGCUCACAAAGGCUUCUGGUCUGACUGGCAAGGGCAGAAGCUGUCUCCACAGAGUUGGGGCGACACUAGGUGGAUGCCAUCACCUGCUUCCCCACUGAUAAGGCAGACAUGGCAGUGGGCUCAAGCCCUCAAUCUUCACGCAGGUAGGCGUCCUCUUCUUGGUCAGCCCUCUCGUCACCAGCUUCCUGGGUUUUCUGGUGCAACUCUUGUGUCUGUGUUUCAGCCAGCUUGGUUUCUGCUUUCUGGGAGAGCUGGCGCACCUCCUGCACCUGCGACUUCACCAACUGGAUGUGAUUCCUGGCGGUUAUAGAGGCCUGAUCGGCUCCUGUCAAGAGAAGGGACAGUGCAUGGAGCACAGAGAAGUCAGACAUGAAGGCCCGAGACUGCAGCUUGUUCCUCAUGAGGUUUCCUUCCUCGACAUCCUGCUUCUGAGUUCAGCUUGGGAUUGUUUAAAUAAUUUUGAUUUACUAUGUGAGUGGAUGCUACAUGUAUGAGGUACCUGUGGAGACCAGAAGAGGGCAUCAGAUCCCCGUGGAUGUGGGUCCUCUGAAGAGCAGCAAGCACUUUUUUUUAAAGAUUUUAUUUAUUGAUUAUUUAUUAUGUAUACAGUGUUCUGCCUGCAUGUAUGCCUUCCUGACAGAAGAGGGCACCAGAUCUCAUUACAGAUGGUUGUGAGAUUAUAGGCAUGAACCACCAUAUCCAGCACUUUAACAUUUUAAUACAAAGAAACACGAAGCAACGGCUCAAUUUGUUUGCUUUCUAAUUGUAGCCUGGUGUCUUCAGAGUGGGAGUGUACAGGAACUUCAAGACCCAAAAGUGCCUGUGAGGUCAGUGCCAGCACUGACCCCGAGCAGGGAAAGAAUGAAAGAAUGCUCUACUGUUUUCA